This is an RNA transcript of Oryctolagus cuniculus (rabbit), 3667 nucleotides long. It is a transcript of the gene named cilia and flagella associated protein 263, with no coding region annotated. NCBI's taxonomy places the organism in Eukaryota, Metazoa, Chordata, Mammalia, Lagomorpha, Leporidae. The record is from RefSeq and is a predicted model, not a curated record.
GCGACGCGGCGAGGCGGUGGUCGCAGGCUGAGUGACGCAGGACGGCGGGUCUCGGGCGCUCCUAGGCACACGCUUCCUCGGUCGGGGCGGCUUUGACGGGAUGACGAGUGAGGAAGACGCAGAGAGCGCCCUCCCUGACGCCCAGGCAGGGGAGGAGAGCGAGCUGCCUGUUAUCCAGCUCUGCGGGCUGGUGGAGGAGCUCAGCUAUGGAAACUCUGCUCUCAAAACUGAGACAGAGAUGUUUGAGAAAUAUUACACUAAACUGGAGCCCAGGGAUCAACACCCCCCACGCUUAUCAGAUAUUAAAUUAUCUGCAGCAGAAUUUGCACAGUUACGGGGCAGGCGAAGAUCCAGGACCCGCACUGGUAUAGACCGAGUGGUAGGCCUCAGUGUCGACCAAAAACUUGAGCUUGUGCAAAAGGAACUGGAAGACACAAAGGAUGAAAUAAGUCACAUGAGGGCAAACGCAGAACGGGACCUGCAACAUCAUGAGGCUAUCAUCGAGGAAGCUGAAAUUCGAGGGGCUGAAGUCCAGAAAGCAAUACAUGACUUUGAAAAAGAUAUUCUAAAAACCAUAUCCAAGAAGAAGGGGAGUAUUCUGGCCACUCAGAAAGUGAUGAAGUACCUUGAUGACAUGAACCGCCGGAGGGAUAAUAUGAAGGAUAAAUUACGUUUGAAAAAUGUUUCUCUCAAAGUUCAAAGGAAAAAAAUGCUUUUGCAAUUGAAGCAGAAGGAAGAGGUGGGCGAGGCCCUCCACAAUGUUGAUUUUCAGCAGCUGAAGAUCGAGAAUGCUCAGUUUUUAGAGACAGUUGAAGCAAGGAAUCAAGAACUGAUCCGGCUAAAGAUGGCCUCUGGAAACACCCUGCAGAUGCUCAACACGUACAAAAAAUUGAAAAAAACUGAGGCUCAAAGAUGCAGGGUAUUUGCCAGAUUGAAGCAACACGUUAAUGACAGAGCUGGGGCUCCUGUUCCAGUGUGUGUCCCACCCAACUGCCAUCCCUGGCAUAAAUAAGCGGAAAAAUCAGACUGGCAUUCUGCAAUUUGUGCAUGAGACACAUCCCGCGGAUCACCGGCUUUCAGCUCAUUGCAUCCGUCUUCAGUUUACCCAACCAGUUGUUUCAGGAAGAAGCUAACCCCCGACUCCUAGUCCCUCACUGCCUGGAGAGCUGGGGCAGCCAUGCUUAGAUCAUCCUGGACCUUGAGCUUAUGCUGCAUGAGAUCUGUCUGCCUGGUCUUGUGGGGUUUGGGAGGUGGAGAUACCAGUUUAUACAAUGAAACUGCCAGUCGCAGGGCCUGAGCUCUUCAGGAUGCUUCUAAACACAGGGGUGUGGAUUGCUGGCAGCACCUGGACAACGGUGACACAGGCCACAGCGGGCAGGACACUGGAGUCCUGCUCCCAGCGGCCCUCGUGCCUAGAAGCCUGUUGCAUUCGAUGCUAAACAGAUGGCAGUGUUUAAGCAGACACCCCACAGGCGUGCGGAGGUGGACAGACAAGGGGUGGAGGGAGAAGCAGCCUUGCUUCCUCAGCUCUGGGUCUCAGUCCUCAGGUGUCCCAGGGGAAAGGGAGGCAGAACAGCUGUGCAUUGUGGGUUUGAAUGGGGGUUGUCCUGGGGGUAACGCUUCACCUCUCGGGGUGAAGUCCUCCUAUCCCCCAGCACUGGACACAGCGCCCUGCCAGCAGAGUGGCGUGACCUGCUCGCAGUUCAGGUGUGUUUGGCUGCAGUGACAGCAGCGGCCACUUAGACUUAACCAUCAGACCCCCAAGUGUGAGACCUCGUUAAAAAGGUACAGAAUAACUUUAUUACCAAAGCAGCUUCCCUGCAGUAGGCCAGGCACGGGGCUACGUGCUAAGGGAACAGCACCUAGCACAAGACAGACACGGUCUUUUCUUCUCGGUGAGUUUCCUGAGUGAGCUGGAGUUGAGAUGGCACCGUUUUCUCCGACUUUGUGCCCUCAGGCCCUGCCUGCUGGAGUGUGGUAGAAUUAAAGUGUGGCUCGUUUACAGCUGAGGGGAGUCCCUCGUGGCUGACUGUAAACCAGUGACCAAAUACCUUGUAGGUACAAUUCCAGGGUGUCCCCCAGGCUCGCCCCCUGGUGUAUCCACCCUGUGUAAUCCCCAGCCAGGACUGUGAAUAGGGUGGAUUCUCUCAUUAGGCCCUCUUCUGCUAUGUGACUAGGUUUUAUUUUGUGGCACAGUUGAACGAAAGCCAGGGAGGUCGUCCAGGUGGGCCUUACCCAAUCACAUGAGCCCCUUGCAAGCAGCACUGCUGUGGAAAAGGUGGUCAGAGGUGUGAAGUACAGGGCAGUUCUCUAGGUCAGAUAAUUCCCCGCUGCUGGGUGCAGAGUGGCCUCUAGGAGCUGAGAGCAAACUCCUGCCAGCAAUAGAAAGAACACGGGACCUCAGUCCCACAGCUCCGGGGAAAUGCAUUCUUCCGGCAGCCAGGUGGCACCAAGCCCUAGAGGAGGACCUAUUGCCCUGAUUUCAGCCCUGCAGGACCAGGGGGAGAGGGAGUGCAGCCACACUGUGCUGGGGCCUGGGACCGCCAGAAACUGUGAGACAGUGACUAGGGGUUGCUGUGGGCACUGAGCCUGUGGUCACUUGUGACAAAGCCAUGGAAAGCCAGUGCUUGCCUUUUUAGAAGCAGCCUCCUUAAGUGGCUGACAUCUUGACUCGGCGUCACCGAUUUAGCUCCCAUCACAGCUGCGGGAAGACUCCGCCCCAGCAGAGCCCCUGAGUGCUUUGCCAUAACCCUGCCUCUCCAAGUUGUUGGGCGAACAUCUCUCCACCCUCCUUUCCUUCCCUUUGAACAGCUGGUUUGCAGCAGAGUCCUGCCCCUGCCUCCCUACCUGGCAGCUGAACCCCCUGAGCUGGCUCUCAUUAUUAUUAUAGUGCCUCAAAGAAGUGAGGGGUGGGGCCAGUAUUGUGUAGCCUCUGGUGCCGAUUUGUAUCCCAGCUGCCACACUUCUGAUCCAGCUUCCUGCUAACAACUUGGGAAAGCAGCUGAAGAUGGCCCAUGUGUUUGGGUCCCUGCCACCCUUGUGGGAGGCCCAGAUGAAGCUCCUGGUUCCUGGCUGCAGCCUGGUUCAGCCCUAGCUGUUGUUGCCAUCUAGGGAGUGAACCAGCAGAUGGAAGAUAUUUCUGUCUCUCCCUCUCUCUGUAACUCUGACUUUCAAAUAAAUAAAUCUUUUAAAAAGGGGGGACCUGGAGGAAUGGGAAGAAGAAUGUCCUCUCAGGUGCUCCCACACCCAGCCAGGUGGCUCCAGGCUCUUUUUCUCCAUUUAAUUGUGACACUGGAGGGCCUGCUCUCUCAGCUCCUUUUAGACUUUCCUCUCCUAGGCUCAUUCCUUAGCUUGGAACAUUCUCUUCCCUCUUCCCCAAGACAUAUCUGACUCAACUUUUCAGCUCUCUUCCCAGCAUCCUUCUGCAGGAAAACCUGCAUUUCCUGGCCCCUGUCCUGGUAUUCCUACAGCCUGGCAUCAUUGGAGUUUGACAUUUCUUCAUGCAAAGAUUUUGCUCCCUACCUAUGUCCCAGCUGUGAGCUAGCCUCCUGGGAAGGGGAGCAAGCUUCAUCGAGCAAUGGAAAUAUAUGUCAAUUUGGACAAAGAGAUCUUGCUGAGAAGUGAGCUACUUGACAAAAUUCAAAAAGAAACCCUACAAGUGGAGGAG